CGGCCGAGUAGCCGAGGUCGGAGAGGACGCGGUUCGUGUCCGCGCCCAGGAGCGGGGCCGACCGGGGUUCGGCUUCCGGUGGGCCGCC
This 88-nucleotide transfer RNA is filed under the name Actinomycetospora sp. NBRC 106375. Its description in RNAcentral is "tRNA-Thr". The record is from RNAcentral. Lineage: Bacteria; Bacillati; Actinomycetota; Actinomycetes; Pseudonocardiales; Pseudonocardiaceae.